GGGGGCGCACUGGUUUCGACCGGUUUUGAACGACUUCAGGUGGCGUGCCGGGGAUUUCUUGAGUCCACCCCGUUAACAACCUCGAGAAGGCUUUUUAGUUGCCGAUAACUAUGCACUUGCAGCUUAAUUAAUAGUUAAGUAGCCGUCUCCCCCGCGAUUGUCCGCGGCGCGGGGGAGACGAAAACAGCGGACUGGUCGGAAAGCUGCGCCUCAGGGCCGCCCGACGAGAAAGUUCUGAGGCUGGUCUACGGUCCGCCCUGUUUCCUGGCAUACCCAAGACGAGAUUCAAAGGGAAACUACGCACGUAGAAGCCAGUAGCCGACGAUUCCGGGACGCGGGUUCGACUCCCGCCGCCUCCACCA
Molecule: transfer-messenger RNA, 362 nt
Filed under: Planctomycetota
Lineage: Bacteria; Pseudomonadati
Also listed under: 1 other name
Description: NORP259 sp016764635 Standard tmRNA
Rfam family: transfer-messenger RNA
About the family: Bacterial tmRNA, also known as 10Sa RNA or SsrA, is named for its dual tRNA and mRNA-like properties. Its role is to liberate the mRNA from a stalled ribosome. To accomplish this part of the tmRNA is used as a reading frame that ends in a translation stop signal.
Source: RNAcentral